Molecule: long non-coding RNA, 478 nt
Filed under: Pan troglodytes (chimpanzee)
Lineage: Eukaryota; Metazoa; Chordata; Mammalia; Primates; Hominidae
Description: long non-coding RNA NONPTRT000234
Source: RNAcentral
CGGAAGAGGGGAAAGGCCAGCUGGGGCUGGCUGAACUCCAGGGAAGAAAGCCAGGGUCAGGGAGUCCUGGCAGAACCCCAGCAAGGGGAGAUGCAGGGUCACUGUUGGGGGCAGUGUGGAGCUGUGGUUAGGGCCAUGGAUUCUGAAGCCGGGCUGCCUGCAUUUGUAUUCCAGGUCUCCACUUAAUGGCUAUUCAAUGGAUCAUGAAGAUGGAGGUGGUGGCUUAUGCCUGUUAAUCCCCCACGCUAUGAGAGGCUGAGGCGGGAGGAUCACUUGGGGCCAGUAGUUUGAGACCAGCCUGGGCAACAUGGCAAGACUCCAUCUCUACAAAAAAAUGCAAAAAGAAAUCAGUGGACCAUAUAUGUACACAUCUAUUUUGGAUUCAUGCCUGUAAGAUACUGAGCAUCGACCAGGCGCGGUGGCUCACACCUGUAAUCCCAGCACUUUGGGAGGCUGAGAUGGGUGGAUCACCUGAGCU